This is a long non-coding RNA of Peromyscus leucopus (white-footed mouse), 1441 nucleotides long. RefSeq lists it as uncharacterized. The transcript is spliced from 2 exons. The record is from RefSeq and is a predicted model, not a curated record. NCBI's taxonomy places the organism in Eukaryota, Metazoa, Chordata, Mammalia, Rodentia, Cricetidae.
ACUCAGGUCAUGAGGCUUGCAUGGCAGGUGACUUGGUCUGCAGAACCACUCACUGGCUCUCAUCUGAGACCUUCCAGUUUGUAUUUUCCUCACUAGACAUAUGGUUGUACUAUAUUUUGAUCUCUUGCUGAGUGGGUCUUCCUGGCACACAUAUUUGUACUAUCUGUAGGCAUGUGAUAAUACUGUUUAUUCCUUUUCUUUACAGAACCUUUCACCCUGCUGUUUUUCUGUUGGUUAGAUUGAUUAUGGAAGAGCUAGAUAACACUGCUGAUGGUGGGAGGUGGUGUGUGCUCAAAUAGCCUCUGUAAUCUCACAGGGCCCUCUCUUCUGUUGUUUCCAUGUCAUGUCAGAAAUGGCAGUUCACAAUCUAAAAUUCAAGGGGUAUUUAUUUUUUACAGCUGUUUUCUUCUGCCGGAUCUUCCCCCCUUCCCCAUGUUGACCUGAGCCUUCUCUUUCUUUGCAUCUUCUGCCUUUCUCUUACUGAAGCUCAUGUCCUCUCCUAGAAGUUCCUUGAAGGAUAAGUCCUGUCUCCAACAGCACACUCUGGGCCACUCCAUCUUGGGAGUUCGUGUACCACAUCGUUCCAGGUCUCACUGCGGCUCUUUGUUCUCAUCAGUCGUUGGCAUGAAAAGCCCCUCAGCUUCCACUGCUGCUCUCAAAUUGAGCCUCUGUGCUUUCCGCCCUGCCUCUCGUGGAUUUUCAGAUCUGUCUGCUGCCCUGCUAUGUCUCUCUCUCCCACAGAGAUGCUCAUUAUGUGACGGUUGUUGGCGCUCCCUGUCCUGUUACCUAGUUUUGCUGUAAAUGUCCCGAGGUGUUCAGUUCUGUCAGUUGCUGCUCUGACUUCUCUAUGGUCAUUUUCAUACAUGAUGAAGCCCUGUCCCAGCUGUCUUUCCAGAAUAUCUGUGUGUGUGUGUGUGUGUGUGUGUGUGUGUGUGUGUGUGUGUGUCCUUUUAAGUCACAGCAGGAAAAGGAAACAUUACACACUCUUAAGUAACUUGUAUAUUUCAUUUGGAAUUUAAUCACAGUGAUGAACACCUUGGAAGAAAUUAGUGAGUAUGGAGGCUGGCAAGAUGGCUCAGCAGGUAAAGCCCUUGCUGCCACGUCUGAUUAUUGAAUUUCAUCUCCAGGACCCCUUUGGCAAAAGGAAAGAACACCCGCAGCUUUAAUGAAGCAAGCUGCCAUGUUGAAGAGGCUCCAACAGCCGGGAACUAAAGCCUUCAGUUUAACAAACCUUAAAGAAUUGAAUCCUUCCCUCAAACCUUGGGAGUGGCCUUGGAAAUGGACUACUCUCCAUGUGUACUUUCAGAUGAGAGCCUCCACCCCAACACUUUCCCAAAACCUCAGUCACAGUCUUGUCCUGAAUCAGAAGAUCUAGCUGACCAUGGCUGAAUUUCUAACUCAGACAAAUUGUGAAAUGAAUAAUAAAUGUGUGUUAUCUUAA